CCAAUGGUGUUAGGUAUACGUCCACUGAGCAUGUUGUAAGAAAGAUCAAGAUAUCUUAGGUUGACCAAGCCACCGAUGCUGGGACUCAGGAUCCCAGACAAAUUCGUCGCACUCAACUCAAAUUGAGAGAUUGGACCACAGGCUCAUAAUCUGAAGUGCAAUUCACGGCGAUCCACCCACAUGGUGUCUGGUCAGUGGAUUUCCAGUUAUUCAAAUGAUCAAAUUCAUCAUGAAUGCUAUUCUUUAGAUCCAGGAGGUAGUGCCCCUCAGAAUUCAACCCCUCAGAAGUACAAACCAAUAGCAAGAGCCAAAAUACUGUAAACCCUGCUUCAAAAGUUCUACUUGACAUUCUAGUAUCCCUCAGCUUGAUCAUGAUUAUAGCAUAAUAUGAUAAUUCCGAACCUGUUUAAGCCAAGUAAUCAAUCAAUCAAUCACUCAUCAAAGAAGAGAUAGUAAAAGCAAUAACUGCACC
This 472-nucleotide unclassified non-coding RNA is filed under the name Hevea brasiliensis (rubber tree). The record is from RNAcentral. Lineage: Eukaryota; Viridiplantae; Streptophyta; Magnoliopsida; Malpighiales; Euphorbiaceae.